AUGACUUAGAAAUCUUAAAGUUGUUGUAGCUUUAAAAGCACAACUGAAAGCAGAGACCAGUGACCUCAACCAAAUUCCAAGACUUUCAUCUCCUGCUUUAAACAACAUUCAAUGGGAAAAUGGGACUUAUUUGCAAAUGAAACUUAAUGAAAAGACUAAUCGAUAGAAUUUUAUUUUUUUUUAAACGGAAAAUUUUAAAAUUUAUGUGAUGUUUUAAUAUAUUUUUUAAAAUUAAGAAAAUAAUUAGUGAAAAUUUUAAUAUUACUAAAUUAAAUAUUUUUUAUUUUUAAGUACUUUAAAUAUUAUAAAAUAUGAAAAAAAAUUUCUCAAAAUAUUAUUUCCACCUAAACAGACUUUUAAACUCUUAAAAUGACCCAAAAUGAAUAAAAAAGAUAUUACAUUUUUUUUUCUCAGUCUAGGCUAAAUUUUAAUAAUCAAUUUCAUAAAGAAUAUUAUUUCCAUCCCAUAAUUUUUAUCACCUUUUUUAAUUAUUCUAAAAUUAUUUUUUUUACUAUAAUAACAUAUAAAUUAAUUAUUAUAAUCCUAUUUAUUUUUAUUUUAUUUUUAAAAAAUCUCCCAAAAUAUUUUUUAAUAUUUAAUAUAGUUAAAAUGAAUAUAAUGAAAAAAUUAUAUUUCUUAAUAUAUGUAAGAAAUAAAUUGAAAAAAAAUUAUGGAACUUGUUUAUUGAAUAAAUAUUAAAUAAGAUAUUUUUAAUUUUUGUGAAAAUUCAAUUUCCGUGUGAAUGAAUACCUUUACAAAUCAGUAAUUAGUAAUAUGAAUAAAUUAAAAAAGUCAAUAAUUGCUUGUGCAUUAAAGAAGACAGAUUUCAUCUACAAAAAGCCGCAGCAUUUUUCUUAAUAAUAUUUUAAAAAUGGAGUUUACCAGCAACAAUAUCCAGAUGAAGCCAUCCUCUUAUCUCUUCAAGCCAACAAACUUGCUUUCCUUGCUCUUGCUGUGUAAUCUUAUAGCAUUUUCUCGCUCUUUUUCUUCUACGCAGCCACGAUGCCAUGACAAUGAGCGAUCUUCUCUGUUGCAAUUCAAGGAAAGCUUUGUCGUCGACAAUUCCAUUAAGGGUUGUGAUCCUUUUGCUCCUUCAAAGAUCGAUUCAUGGAAGCUCUUCCAUGGCGAAAGAAUUAGUGACUGUUGCUCAUGGGAUGGUGUGGAAUGUGAUGAAGAAACCAAUCAUGUGAUUAGCCUUGACCUCAGCAGCAGUUGUCUCUUUGGUUCUAUCAACUCCAACAGCAGCCUGUUUCAUCUUCUUCAACUUCGAAAGCUUAAUCUUGCGUACAAUGACUUCAACUUUUCUCCAAUACCUGCACGAGUAGGCCAUUUCUUGAGGUUAACUCAUCUCAACCUCUCUUCUUCUGGCUUUUCUGGUGAAAUCCCUGAUGAAAUCUCUAAUCUAUCCAGCUUGAUUUCCCUUGAUCUCUCUGGUAACAAUGAUCUGAGGCUCCAUAAGCUUAGUAUGAGAGGUCUAGUACAAAACCUGGCUCAUUUAAAAGCACUUCAUCUCUCGAAAGUUGACAUAUCAUCAAGGGUGCCUGACCUCUUGGCGAAUUUUGUGGCUUUGGAGUCUCUCCAACUUGA
This 1587-nucleotide long non-coding RNA is filed under the name Manihot esculenta (cassava). RNAcentral's name for it is "long non-coding RNA (MESC_LNC007020)". The record is from RNAcentral. Lineage: Eukaryota; Viridiplantae; Streptophyta; Magnoliopsida; Malpighiales; Euphorbiaceae.